AACGCACAUUGCGCCCCUUGGUAUUCCGAGGGGCAUGCCUGUUCGAGCGUCAUUAUAACCACUCAAGCCUGGCUUGGUAUUGGGGUUCGCGUGCCCGCGGCCCUUAAAAUCAGUGGCGGUGCCGUCUGGCUCUAAGUGUAGUAAUUUUCUCGCUAUAGAGUCCUGUCGGUUACCUGCCAGAACCCCCCACAUUCUUAGGUUGACCUCGGAUCAGGUAGGGAUACCCGCUGAACUUAA
RNAcentral lists this unclassified non-coding RNA (237 nucleotides) under uncultured fungus. RNAcentral describes it as "sequence contains ITS2". The stretch from base 1 to 52 matches the Rfam family "5.8S ribosomal RNA", at positions 103 to 154 of the family's 154-position model. Lineage: Eukaryota; Fungi. The record is from RNAcentral.